This 443-nucleotide ribosomal RNA is filed under the name uncultured Acetobacteraceae bacterium. Its description in RNAcentral is "bacterial SSU rRNA". It matches the Rfam family "Bacterial small subunit ribosomal RNA", at positions 335 to 795 of the family's 1533-position model. Lineage: Bacteria; Pseudomonadati; Pseudomonadota; Alphaproteobacteria; Acetobacterales; Acetobacteraceae. The record is from RNAcentral.
UUACCUACGGGAGGCUGCAGUGGGGAAUAUUGGACAAUGGGCGCAAGCCUGAUCCAGCAAUGCCGCGUGGGUGAAGAAGGUCUUCGGAUCGUAAAGCCCUUUCGGCGGGGACGAUGAUGACGGUACCCGCAGAAGAAGCCCCGGCUAACUUCGUGCCAGCAGCCGCGGUAAUACGAAGGGGGCUAGCGUUGCUCGGAAUCACUGGGCGUAAAGGGCGCGUAGGCGGCUUGGUCAGUCAGGCGUGAAAUUCCUGGGCUUAACCUGGGGACUGCGCUUGAUACGGCCAGGCUUGAGGCCGAGAGAGGGUGGUGGAAUUCCCAGUGUAGAGGUGAAAUUCGUAGAUAUUGGGAAGAACACCGGUGGCGAAGGCGACCACCUGGCUCGGUACUGACGCUGAGGCGCGACAGCGUGGGGAGCAAACAGGAUUAGAUACCCUUGUAGUC